RNAcentral lists this small RNA (2306 nucleotides) under Theobroma cacao (cacao). Its description in RNAcentral is "sRNA Tc04v2_g018050". Lineage: Eukaryota; Viridiplantae; Streptophyta; Magnoliopsida; Malvales; Malvaceae. The record is from RNAcentral.
UGGCUUCUCUAGGGUAAUAAAGUUUGGAACAGAUUUAUCAUUUUACUCAGCAUCUUAACCUAAAUUUUCCUCUUUAGUUUUGUUUUCUCUUUUAAUAUUUGAACAGAUUGCUGAGGAGGCCAUUACACCCAUAGGAUGAACUCUCUUUUAGAUGUCAAUUCAAAGUUGGAAUACUGGUUCUAAAUUGGAUGCAGCGGCAUAAUCAAGCACUAUAUAGCUUGGGAUCAACUGAAAACCCUGGUCUCCCAUCGGCGGCCACGAGGUAAAACGAUUUGGAAGGCAGUACGCAUUACAGCAGUUCAAUCUCUUUGCCAAAGUAUGCUCAAGUGUCGAGAAUUCCGGAACUAGCAGAAAAUUGCCAUUACAUCUCAGGUCUCUUUCCUCAUGGUAAAGACUGCUGAGGAGGCCAUUACACCUAGAACGCAAAUACUCUACCCCGAUUUGGUGCCCGGUUCCUACCCCAAUCCCAAAAUUAUGUUAACUGUCCAAAUUAUUAAAAUCCCAAAUGGACAAACCACUCAUCACGACAAGGUUCGACCCGACUCCAGCGACUUAACAAGAGAUGGGCAACCCAUCAAAUUGCCCCAGAAUGGAUGUUAGCUUACACCAGUCGCCAAUGUUUUGCUUGUAAAGCACUAGGCGAUAAAUUGGUAUGGCCUGGUUUUUCAGGCCGAAAUUUCUAUUCAGGUUCGCUCGGGUUUGGUGGUGGGAUGAAAGAGUGGAAGAAGGAUGAAAAAAUAAUUCUCUGUUUACUAACAGAGAGUGAAAAAUGUUUUAAUAUGCUGAGUUUUGUGGUUUUUCUUCUCAUUUUCAUUUAUUCUUAAGGGUUUUGCCUUCAACUAUUUGUUGUUUGCUAUAUAUGAUGAUACUCUUGAAAAAUAAUAAAAAUAAACCAGACACGCUUGAAAUUAUUUUGCUAAUAGCGUCAUCCUAUGUGCAAUCCAACAUGUUUUUAUUUUGCAUUCAACUAGAUUUGUUCUUGGGAUGGUGUUGGUUGCCCAUUAUCUCCGAGGAAGUGUAAUGAUAGAGAGAAGGGCAGAGGAUUUUUUGAUUUGAUUGUACAGAUAAUAUGAAAAUUGGUUUUGAUAGGGUAUUGGUAUAGUUUUCCUUGGAUUUUUUUAACACUAGGGAGCUGCUUUCUCAAGGAAGUUCCGCAUGAAAGAUGUUGCUAUGUUGCUUGAGAUUUUGGUCACAUUGAGAACUUGUUUGAUUGUAAUUCUGAUUAAGUGAGAGUCCCAAUUAUUCUUUGUAGAGGGUUCUUCUGGUAGAAAUAGAUGACAUGUUGCAAUGCUAUCACUGGAACUCUGCCUUGAAACGUUGGAUGGUUGUGUGUGGGGUAACUUUAUGGUCUCUUUGGUUGGCUAGGAAUGAAUCUGUAUUUAAUAGAAAAGUUUGGGAUGGUAAGGAAAUUUUCUUCCUUAUUCGUAUGAGAUCUACCUUCUGGUUGCGGGCAUGUGACGGUAUGGAAUCGGUGGAUGAAAUUGGAUGGUGGACUGAACCAUGGGAAGUUUCUUCGCACCCCUUUCCACAGUUGCCUUAACAUUCAUUAGUGCCCUCCGCCAGAGGGGACUUUGAAAUUUAAUGUUGACGGUUCUGCCAGAAGAAAACCAAGGCCUGCAGGAUGUGGAGGGGCUCUUCGAAACUCAGAGGGAUUUCUUGUUGGGGUGUUCUUUGGUCCUCUUGGAGUUCAAGAUUCUAAUUUUGCCGAAAUCAUGGCAAUCAAGCAUGCUCUCCACCUCUUUUCUUUUUCCCCUUAUGCAACCACAAACAAGCUUCUCAUUGAGUUCGAUUCUAAAAUUGCCCUUUCCUGGAUUCUCCAUCCCAGCAAGAGACCUUGGGAUAAAUGGAUGCUUUUUAAUGACAUUGAUUCUCUUAUUUUGCAGCUCAAGGAAGUUUCUUUCCAGCACACUCUUAGAGAAGGAAACUCCUUCGCUGAUUCUCUUGCAAAAUAUGGAGUUGAUAAAGAGUCUAUGUUCUCUGCUUGGUGGUAGUUUGCCUUUGUUUUCUUUUGCUGUUUUUAUGGCUUAUCCUUUUCCUCACAUGAAGCUGGUUUGGAUUUUUUGUUUUUUCCUUCUUCCUCACUUAAUGUCAUAGAGGUUUUAGGUUGAACUGUGUUUGUGUUCAUGAUUAUUGUCCUGAUUUUUAACAUCAUGGGUUAUCUGAACUGAUUGUUUGGAGCUGCUAUCCUUCAGUUUGUGUCCUUAGGUCAGAUUGUCAAGGUCUGUACUGCCAGUUUGCAUUUUGUACAUGAUGUCAAGGUGUCUUAUGUUCUGUUCAAACGGACAAACUCUGGUCCUUUUUUUGUA